Molecule: transfer RNA, 73 nt
Filed under: Caudoviricetes sp.
Lineage: Duplodnaviria; Heunggongvirae; Uroviricota; Caudoviricetes
Description: tRNA-Met
Rfam family: tRNA
About the family: Transfer RNA (tRNA) molecules are approximately 80 nucleotides in length.
Source: RNAcentral
UGACGCUUAGUUCAGCGGUAAGAGCAGCGGCCUCAUAAGCCGAAUGUCGCCGGUUCGAAUCCGGCAGCGUCAA